AAGUCGUAACAAGGUUUCCGUUGGUGAACCAGCGGAAGGAUCAUUACCAUAAUCCAUAUGAUUAUCAAUCAACAUUGUGAACUUGUAAAUUGUCUUUCGGGAUAAUUGUAUAUUAUUCCAAAUGUAUGUGUUUAUGGGUUGGAAACACACAUCUUCGAUGUGUGCCAACAACCAUAUCAUAAACCUCCAUACAUUUUAUAUACAUGUUCCCAGUGUAUUUUCGCAAGAAAAUACACAUAUAUUAAAAACCAUAAAAUAAAACAUAUAUACAGAAUUAAAAAGCAAUACAGAAAUGUAUUGUGAAUAAAUUAAUAUAUGACAACUUUUAACGGCGGAUCUCUUGGCUCGU
RNAcentral lists this unclassified non-coding RNA (349 nucleotides) under fungal sp. RNAcentral describes it as "partial internal transcribed spacer region". The stretch from base 1 to 46 matches the Rfam family "Eukaryotic small subunit ribosomal RNA", at positions 1786 to 1831 of the family's 1831-position model. The record is from RNAcentral. Lineage: Eukaryota; Fungi.